RNAcentral lists this long non-coding RNA (296 nucleotides) under Jatropha curcas. Its description in RNAcentral is "long non-coding RNA (JCUR_LNC002334)". Lineage: Eukaryota; Viridiplantae; Streptophyta; Magnoliopsida; Malpighiales; Euphorbiaceae. The record is from RNAcentral.
UUGCCGGGUCGGGAUGUCACAGGCCCACCAGCUUCCGCGUGGUUCGUCCUCGAGCCAUACAUCUACUAGAGGGGGUCCGGCUCUGAUACCAACUGUCACACCCCGACUCUAAUCACUAGAGGAAUUGUCCGCUUUGGAUCAAGCCAAAUCCCCCAUACAAGAUUGGCAAGACCCGCACGGUUUUGUCCCGCAGGUGAAACGAGAAACUUCCCAGGAGGUCACCCAUCCUAGGAUUUCCGUUAAGCGAGCACGCUUAACCCUGGAGUUCUUCCAACUCUCCAACCAUUUCACCAAAG